This 488-nucleotide ribosomal RNA is filed under the name Salmonella enterica subsp. enterica serovar Enteritidis. RNAcentral describes it as "partial 23S ribosomal RNA". The stretch from base 1 to 366 matches the Rfam family "Bacterial large subunit ribosomal RNA", at positions 161 to 565 of the family's 2925-position model. The record is from RNAcentral. Lineage: Bacteria; Pseudomonadati; Pseudomonadota; Gammaproteobacteria; Enterobacterales; Enterobacteriaceae.
AAUCCAUAGGUUAAUGAGGCGAACCGGGGGAACUGAAACAUCUAAGUACCCCGAGGAAAAGAAAUCAACCGAGAUUCCCCCAGUAGCGGCGAGCGAACGGGGAGGAGCCCAGAGCCUGAAUCAGCAUGUGUGUUAGUGGAAGCGUCUGGAAAGGCGCGCGAUACAGGGUGACAGCCCCGUACACAAAAGCGCAUGUGCUGUGAGCUCGAUGAGUAGGGCGGGACACGUGGUAUCCUGUCUGAAUAUGGGGGGACCAUCCUCCAAGGCUAAAUACUCCUGACUGACCGAUAGUGAACCAGUACCGUGAGGGAAAGGCGAAAAGAACCCCGGCGAGGGGAGUGAAAAAGAACCUGAAACCGUGUACGUACAAGCAGUGGGAGCCCCACCACCAAAGCAUUUGCUGUACCGCGUUGACGGAGCGAAGCGACGUCAAACCGAUAAAACAGCAGUGUAAAGUGAGCCGCAGGGCGCUUUGCGCGACAGCGCAA